Molecule: ribosomal RNA, 301 nt
Filed under: uncultured bacterium
Lineage: Bacteria
Description: partial 16S ribosomal RNA
Rfam family: Bacterial small subunit ribosomal RNA
Source: RNAcentral
CAGCCGCCACGGUAAUACGUAGGGUGCGAGCGUUAAUCGGAAUUACUGGGCGUAAAGCGAGCGCAGACGGUUACUUAAGCAGGAUGUGAAAUCCCCGGGCUCAACCUGGGAACUGCGUUCUGAACUGGGUGACUAGAGUGUGUCAGAGGGAGGUAGAAUUCCACGUGUAGCAGUGAAAUGCGUAGAGAUGUGGAGGAAUACCGAUGGCGAAGGCAGCCUCCUGGGAUAACACUGACGUUCAUGCUCGAAAGCGUGGGUAGCAAACAGGAUUAGAUACCCCUGUAGUCCCUGUCUCUUAUAC